Molecule: ribosomal RNA, 253 nt
Filed under: uncultured microorganism
Description: partial 16S ribosomal RNA
Rfam family: Bacterial small subunit ribosomal RNA
Source: RNAcentral
UACGUAGGGUGCGAGCGUUAAUCGGAUUUACUGGGCGUAAAGCGUGCGCAGGCGGCCCGUUAAGACAGGUGUGAAAUCCCUGGGCUCAACCUAGGAAUUGCGCUUGUGACUGGCGGGCUCGAGUACGGUAGAGGGGGGUGGAAUUCCUGGUGUAGCAGUGAAAUGCGUAGAGAUCAGGAGGAACACCGAUGGCGAAGGUAGCCCCCUGGGCCUGUACUGACGCUCAUGCACGAAAGCGUGGGGAGCAAACAGG